Molecule: long non-coding RNA, 281 nt
Filed under: Fukomys damarensis (Damara mole-rat)
Lineage: Eukaryota; Metazoa; Chordata; Mammalia; Rodentia; Bathyergidae
Description: lncRNA (ENSFDAG00000028422.1)
Source: RNAcentral
AUUCUCCUUUGCUCACAUUUCAUGAAAAUGACAAUGAGGGGGAUCAGAGCAGAACACUCCCCACACACGAAGGCGCUCACACCGAAUGGAGGAGAUGCAUGGAGGCAGCCAGCUCCUCAGGAUCCUCCCACAGCCUCACUCAGAUGCAGGUAAAAUCCAUUCCACAUGGAAACUUCAGAGAGCAGAAGAAUCACUGUAAAUGCUGGCCUCGGGGAAUUUGUGCUUCCUACAACUUUUAAGGCAGAAGUAUUCAAAGGCCACGUACUCAGAUAAGACCCAAC